CCUAGGGGAGGCAGCAGUGGGGGAUAUUGGACAAUGGGGGAAACCCUGAUCCAGCGACGCCGCGUGAGUGAAGAAGUAUUUCGGUAUGUAAAGCUCUGUCAGCAGGGAAGAAAGAAAUGACGGUACCUGACCAAGAAGCCCCGGCUAACUACGUGCCAGCAGCCGCGGUAAUACGUAGGGGGCAAGCGUUAUCCGGAAUUACUGGGUGUAAAGGUAGCGUAGACGGUGAUGCAAGUCUGGAGUGAAAGGCGGGGGACCAACCCCCGGACUGCUCUGGAAACUGUGUAACUGGAGUGCAGGAGAGGUAAGCGGAAUUCCUAGUGUAGCGGUGAAAUGCGUAGAUAUUAGGAGGAACACCAGUGGCGAAGGCGGCUUACUGGACUGUAACUGACGUUGAGGCUCGAAAGCGUGGGGAGCAAACAGGAUUAGAUACCCGUGUAGUC
Molecule: ribosomal RNA, 443 nt
Filed under: uncultured bacterium
Lineage: Bacteria
Description: partial 16S ribosomal RNA
Rfam family: Bacterial small subunit ribosomal RNA
Source: RNAcentral